UACGUAGGGUGCAAGCGUUGUCCGGAAUUAUUGGGCGUAAAGAGCUCGUAGGCGGCUUGUCACGUCGAUUGUGAAAGCCCGAGGCUUAACCUCGGGUCUGCAGUCGAUACGGGCUAGCUAGAGUGUGGUAGGGGAGAUCGGAAUUCCUGGUGUAGCGGUGAAAUGCGCAGAUAUCAGGAGGAACACCGGUGGCGAAGGCGGAUCUCUGGGCCAUUACUGACGCUGAGGAGCGAAAGCGUGGGGAGCAAACAGG
This 253-nucleotide ribosomal RNA is filed under the name uncultured bacterium. Its description in RNAcentral is "partial 16S ribosomal RNA". It matches the Rfam family "Bacterial small subunit ribosomal RNA", at positions 524 to 776 of the family's 1533-position model. The record is from RNAcentral.